This 263-nucleotide signal recognition particle RNA is filed under the name human gut metagenome. RNAcentral describes it as "Bacterial large signal recognition particle RNA". It matches the Rfam family "Bacterial large signal recognition particle RNA". Rfam says of the family: The signal recognition particle (SRP) is a universally conserved ribonucleoprotein involved in the co-translational targeting of proteins to membranes. The record is from RNAcentral.
CCGCGCUAGUCGGGGAGUUAGCGGUGCCCUGUAUCUGCAAUCCGCUACAGCAGGGAUGAAUCCCGGCCCCCGGAAUCGUAUUGUGCCGUCUGACCCCGGUAAGCAGCGAUGAUGGAUCGGUCCUGCGCAACGGGCACCCGUGAACCGUGUCAGGCGGGGAACCGAGCAGCACUAAGCGGGCCCGCCCGUGUGCCGCGGGGAUUCCGCUCCUGAGCCGGCUGCCGGGGUAACGGGCAUAAUGCGAUCUUCAAAGGCCGGUGCGC